This 492-nucleotide ribosomal RNA is filed under the name uncultured bacterium. Its description in RNAcentral is "partial 16S ribosomal RNA". It matches the Rfam family "Bacterial small subunit ribosomal RNA", at positions 29 to 507 of the family's 1533-position model. The record is from RNAcentral.
AAUGAACGCUGGCGGCAUGCCUAACACAUGCAAGUCGAACGGCAGCACAGUAAGAGCUUGCUCUUACGGGUGGCGAGUGGGGGACGGGUGAGUAAGAAACCGGAAGCUACUUUGUCUGGGGGGGUAACGUAGGGAAACUUACGCUAAGACAGCAUACGACCUACUUGUGUAAGCAGGGGUUCUUCGUACCAUGCGCGAUUGGAUGAGCCGAUGUCGGAUUAGCUAGUUGGCGGGGUAGAGGCCCACCAAGGCGACGAUCCGUAGCUGGUUUGAGAGGAGGAUGAGCAACACUGGAACUGAGAAACGGCCCAGACUCCUACGGGAGGAAGCAGUGGGGAAUAUUGGACAAUGGGCGAAAGCCUGAUCAAGCAAUACCGGGUGGGUGAAGAAGGCCUUCGGGUUGUAAAGUCAUUUUGUUGGGAAAGAAAAGCAGCAGGUUAAUACGCUGCUGUUCUGACGGUACCCAAAGAAUAAGCACCGGCUAACUUCGUG